UUAUUUAGAAGCAAGAGAAAAUGACAAAACAGGAAUGUGUUUCAUGUUUGCAAAAGGAAUAUGAGCCAGUCUUAAAUGCCAAAUGUAAUUCAUGUUUUUUGCAUCAGCAUUAUUACAAAUGGAACUAUUUACAUUUGAAGACAAAGCAACAGUCUUAUGGCUAGAAUAACAGACAUGAUUACAAGAAUCAGAAAGUGAACAUACAGAAGCAGAUGAGCAACAAUUAAAAGAAGAAUGUGAAGGUGGCACCCAAGCAAACUUGUACAGACCCAUACAGAAGCAGAUGAGCAACAAUUAAAAGAAGAAUGUGAAGGUGGAACCUAAGCAAACUUGUACAGACCAGCCUCCUCGUUACCAAGAUCCAGUGGAAUCUUCAGAGAAGAGGCCUGUAACAUGUGAAAAAAACAAAAAUACAAUGCAACUGUUUUACUAGUUUGUGGACAGAAAUUAAG
This 452-nucleotide long non-coding RNA is filed under the name Nicotiana benthamiana. Its description in RNAcentral is "long non-coding RNA (NBEN_LNC018486)". The record is from RNAcentral. Lineage: Eukaryota; Viridiplantae; Streptophyta; Magnoliopsida; Solanales; Solanaceae.